Molecule: ribosomal RNA, 254 nt
Filed under: uncultured bacterium
Lineage: Bacteria
Description: partial 16S ribosomal RNA
Rfam family: Bacterial small subunit ribosomal RNA
Source: RNAcentral
UACGGGGGGAGCAAGCGUUGUUCGGAUUUACUGGGCGUAAAGGGCGCGUAGGCGGUCAGCACAAGUCAGUUGUGAAAUCUCCGGGCUUAACUCGGAAAGGUCAACUGAUACUGUGCGACUAGAGUGCAGAAGGGGCAACUGGAAUUCUCGGUGUAGCGGUGAAAUGCGUAGAUAUCUGGAGGAAUACCGGUGGCGAAGGCGGCAUCCUGGACCGGCAUUGACGCUGAGGAGCGAAAGCCAGGGGAGCAAACGGG